GUCUACAGCCAUACCACCCUGAACACUCUCGAUCUCGUCUGAUCUCAGAAGCUAAGCAGGGUUGGGCCUGGUUAGUACUUGGAUGGGAGAAAAAAGAAAAAAAGAAUCAUUAAUA
This 115-nucleotide ribosomal RNA is filed under the name Erinaceus europaeus (western European hedgehog). The record is from RNAcentral. Lineage: Eukaryota; Metazoa; Chordata; Mammalia; Eulipotyphla; Erinaceidae.